AAACUCUGUAUAUUUGUGCAGUGUGCAUGAGUCAAAAGAUCAAAUCUGAUAUUAAAACUUGUGACAUAUAAAUGCGCACAUCAACCUGAUCACUUUAUUUAGCAUUCAUGUAAACACUGUGUUCGGAUUAAUCAGUCGGAAUGAUUUAAUUCUGAUUGAAACAAAAGAUGUCCAUGUAAAUGUAUCUAAUGUCAGGUUUCCUUUUUAUGUAUAAUUUCUGGUUACUUUGAAUUACUAUGGAUAAUAUCACUAUGUAAACUAUGUUUUGUUUAAUAUUUGUUAGCAGCAGUUUUAAAUUUCAACAGACUUGUUUGUUUCUGUUAAGAUUCAAGCAUCCCACAACUUGUGUCUGAACAAAUUAAAUGUCUAAAAAUGUACUUUGGACAUCACAGCUUUAAACCGUAAGUUUUGAAGUAGGAUUUGUGUGUCAUUUACUAUACUAUUGCUUAUGCUUGUAAAUAAGUUUAUGUGUAGUUGUUAUUGCCAUUAGCACACUGUUUGUUUUAUAUAUGAUCUUAUGGUUUUUCAGAGUUAGUGGAAAGUGAUUCACUCUAUUCUCAUGGAGAUGAGAGAUAAUCUUGUUAUUUUCACAACUGGUAUAACUUUUCCUUGAUCAUUGAAAUUAUGACAUAUUUACUAAAUUAUCUUGUAGUCGUUAUAGUCGUUUUCUGCCCAGCUCUAAUCUGCUAAAUGUGAUUAUAAGGCAUGAACACGUUAAGAAAAGUGCUAUACGAAUAAAUUUGACUUAACUUUGUGUUCAAAUGUCAGCUCUCAUGAAUUGCUGUGUUGGCAGGUUAUGGGAAGAGUUUGUGUUUCCAGUUUCAAUUUCAGUGUGGUAAUUUCUCCUCUCAUCGCCCUCAUGGAGGACCAGGUGCUUCAGCUACAGUUCCUAUUUUGGCACUCAUGGCUACUGCGAGUCCAUCUAUUCGUGAGGAUAUCAUUAAGAGCCUUCAUCUGAUCAAUCCUCUGAUCCCCUCCACCUCCUUCGACCAACCAAACCUCUACCUUGGAUGUCAAUCACAAGUCUGGUGACAUUAUCCAAGACCUCAAACAAUCUCAUCAAAAAAAGGGUAAGCCAUGCUGAUUCUUGUAGUAACUUGUGAGGAAUUAUUUUGCAUGAGGAGUGUUCAAAGAUUGCUUAAUGCAGUGGCUUUUAAACCAGAUGGCCAGGACCCAGUAGUAACAUAUGUAAGUUGACAUCAAUUUUUAUUUCAUUUAUUUUUUUUAUUUAUUCCCUCAAAUUUUAAGUUCCAGGAUUCUCACAAUCUUGUAAAAUCUGUAUAUACAGUAUGAGGGAAUUUUGUGUCAUUUCUAAAUUUUUACUAAUGAUUAUAAUAUUUUCUAAAAUAUUUUUGAGUAGAAAUUUAUAUUUGUGAGUAAAAAAAAAAAAAAAAGAAGAAAAUCCCAGUAAUAACAAACAACUUGAAGUCAUAAAUUUACUUUUGAACAAUGAAGAACAUUCAGUUAUUGAAACUGCUGGAAUUAUUUGAUUUAAUUAUUUUUAUUGUCUAUAAUA
Molecule: long non-coding RNA, 1516 nt
Organism: Cyprinus carpio (common carp)
Lineage: Eukaryota; Metazoa; Chordata; Actinopteri; Cypriniformes; Cyprinidae
Source: Ensembl